UGGUCUGUAGCCAAGCGGUAAGGCAGCGGGUUUUGGUCCCGCCAUCCCAGGUUCGAAUCCUAGCAGACCAG
Molecule: non-coding RNA, 71 nt
Organism: Potamilus streckersoni
Lineage: Eukaryota; Metazoa; Mollusca; Bivalvia; Unionida; Unionidae
Source: the annotation of a GenBank genome assembly